GAUGAACGCUGGCGGCGUGCCUAAUACAUGCAAGUCGAGCGAACGGACGAGAAGCUUGCUUCUCUGAUGUUAGCGGCGGACGGGUGAGUAACACGUGGAUAACCUACCUAUAAGACUGGGAUAACUUCGGGAAACCGGAGCUAAUACCGGAUGAUAUUUUGAACCGCAUGGUUCAAAAGUGAAAGACGGUCUUGCUGUCACUUAUAGAUGGAUCCGCGCUGCAUUAGCUAGUUGGUAGGGUAACGGCUUACCAAGGCAACGAUGCAUAGCCGACCUGAGAGGGUGAUCGGCCACACUGGAACUGAGACACGGUCCAGACUCCUACGGGGGGCAGCAGUAGGGAAUCUUCCGCAAUGGGCGAAAGCCUGACGGAGCAACGCCGCGUGAGUGAUGAAGGUCUUCGGAUCGUAAAACUCUGUUAUUAGGGAAGAACAUAUGUGUAAGUAACUGUGCACAUCUUGACGGUACCUAAUCAGAAAGCCACGGCUAACUACGUG
This 497-nucleotide ribosomal RNA is filed under the name uncultured bacterium. RNAcentral's name for it is "partial 16S ribosomal RNA". It matches the Rfam family "Bacterial small subunit ribosomal RNA", at positions 28 to 507 of the family's 1533-position model. The record is from RNAcentral.